Streptomyces sp. Root264 is the source of this 85-nucleotide small RNA. It matches the Rfam family "nrdJ RNA". The record is from Rfam. NCBI's taxonomy places the organism in Bacteria, Bacillati, Actinomycetota, Actinomycetes, Kitasatosporales, Streptomycetaceae.
ACCUGCUGUGGGCGGUGGCGCGUGGACGCCCGCAGCACCAGACAGAACAACGUGUCACGGGAACAACGUGGCAUUUCAGGGCGUU